RNAcentral lists this ribosomal RNA (1296 nucleotides) under Triticum aestivum (bread wheat). RNAcentral's name for it is "partial small subunit ribosomal RNA". Lineage: Eukaryota; Viridiplantae; Streptophyta; Magnoliopsida; Poales; Poaceae. The record is from RNAcentral.
GAGCCGCAGAGACUGACCGAACAGACGUUCGCACCAACUCCCCUGAAGCCUGAACGGAGCGGCGGAGAGGAAGGGGAGAGAUCACCCGCCGGCGGCGAGGGGAGAUGGCCGGAGGCGAGGAAGGGUGGAGGAGGAGCGGCAUCGAGGUGAGCACCCUGCAGUUCGGCUACGACGGGGAGGCGCCGCUCUUCGCGCGCUUCAACCUCCGCGUCGCCCCCGGCUCGCGCUGCCUCCUCGUCGGCGCCAACGGAUCCGGCAAGACCACUCUCUUAAAGAUUCUUGCAGGAAAACAUAUGGUUGGAGGAAAGGAUGUUGUCCGUGUUCUUAAUGGUUCUGCUUUUCAUGACACACAGUUUGUGUGCAGUGGUGACCUUUCCUACUUGGGUGGUUCGUGGAGUCGGAAUGUCAGUUCAGUUGGUGAUGUUCCACUACAAGGCGAUUUCUCUGCUGAGCACAUGAUAUUUGGAGUUGAUGGGGUUGAUCCUGUUAGGCGAGAGCAGCUGAUUGAUCUACUGGAUAUUGAUCUGCAAUGGCGCAUGCAUAAAGUUUCAGAUGGACAGCGCCGCAGGGUACAAAUUUGCAUGGGUCUUCUUCAUCCAUACAAGGUACUCUUACUCGAUGAGAUCACCGUGGAUCUCGAUGUCGUGACCAGGAUGGAUCUCCUCGACUUCUUCAAGGAAGAGUGCGAGCAGAGGGAAGCCACGAUCGUCUACGCCACGCACAUAUUCGACGGCCUGGAGACAUGGGCGACCGACAUCGCGUACAUCCAGGAGGGCGAGCUGAAAAAGUCGGCGAAAUACUCGGACAUCGAAGAGCUCAAGACGGCCAAGAACCUGCUGUCGGUCGUGGAGUCAUGGCUGAAGUCCGAGACCAAACUCCCGAAGAAAGAGCCCGCGCGCGUCGAGAGCCAGCCCAGGCGCCCCUCCCCGUUCGACGCCUCCCCUUUCCGAGCGUCGCGCCACAUGGCCUACUACCGAUGAUGAUCGUGUAAAACCUCUACACCCAUUCCGGUGUCAUACAACUCUGGAGUCUGUAUCUUUCUUUUUCCUGUUCCUCAUGCAUCCCUGUAUACGGCAAUGUAUCUAUCUGAAGAACAAACAAGUCGAGCUUAAUUACCCUAUUCCCAGCAGGCCAUUACGCUCAUUAUUUCUACUGCACCACAUUCUGAAGAUUCUCAUCUAAAUACAGAUUAUACAGUGCUACAUUCAUUCAUUCAGUCAGUCCCUGUCUUUCUGUGAGGAAGUCUCCAUGUAUGCUGACAAAUUUGCUGCUCAUUUAUCUCAUCCUCACUUAGCC